Molecule: ribosomal RNA, 387 nt
Filed under: uncultured prokaryote
Description: partial 16S ribosomal RNA
Source: RNAcentral
CCCUAUGGGGCGCAUGGGGCCAAAGCGCAAGGUAUCCAAUCCCCGGCGGGCAAUCAAUUCUACCGGCAUACAACCAGACAAAAACAUCUUUUGAUCGAUGCUGUGUCCUUCGAAAAUAUCGGCAUCUGUCAGAUCCCGCCAAAACUUCUCAUACUCUUCCCGGCUGAGCGGACAAUUGUAAUAAUCGUCAUCACCCUUUCCAUAACGGGAUGCUUUAAAAAUCCGAUCUUGAUUAAGACUGCUUAAAGUCACACUGGGAGCUAUGGCAUCAUAAAAAAACAGAUUGUCAUCACCGCUCUGGGCAGCGAGUUCCUGAAAGAGCCGCUCUGAAGUAAGGGGCCCAGUGGCGAUAAUAUGUAUGCCUUCACAAUGAAUUGGCGGGAGGGC